UACGUAGGGUGCGAGCGUUAAUCGGAAUUACUGGGCGUAAAGCGCGCGUAGGUGGUUUGUUAAGUUGGAUGUGAAAUCCCCGGGCUCAACCUGGGAACUGCAUUCAAAACUGACAAGCUAGAGUAUGGUAGAGGGUGGUGGAAUUUCCUGUGUAGCGGUGAAAUGCGUAGAUAUAGGAAGGAACACCAGUGGCGAAGGCGGCCACCUGGACAGUAACUGACGCUGAGGCGCGAAAGCGUGGGUAGCAAACAGG
This 253-nucleotide ribosomal RNA is filed under the name uncultured bacterium. RNAcentral's name for it is "partial 16S ribosomal RNA". It matches the Rfam family "Bacterial small subunit ribosomal RNA", at positions 524 to 776 of the family's 1533-position model. The record is from RNAcentral.